CACAAGCGGUGGAUGAUGUGGUAUUAAUUCGAUGCAACGCGAAAACCUUACCUACCCUUGACAUGUCAGGAAUCCUGAAGAGAUUUGGGAGUGCUCGCAAGAGAGCCUGAACACAGGUGCUGCAUGGCUGUCGUCAGCUCGUGUCGUGAGAUGUUGGGUUAAGUCCCGCAACGAGCGCAACCCUUGUCAUUAAUUGCCAUCAUUCAGUUGGGCACUUUUAAUGAGACUGCCGGUGACAAACCGGAGGAAGGUGGGGAUGACGUCAAGUCCUCAUGGCCCUUAUGGGUAGGGCUUCACACGUCAUACAAUGGUCGGUCCAGAGGGUUGCCAACCCGCGAGGGGGAGCCAAUCUCAGAAAGCCGAUCGUAGUCCGGAUCGCAGUCUGCAACUCGACUGCGUGAAGUCGGAAUCGCUAGUAAUCGCGGAUCAGCAUGUCGCGGUGAAUACGUUCC
Molecule: ribosomal RNA, 452 nt
Filed under: uncultured bacterium
Lineage: Bacteria
Description: bacterial SSU rRNA
Rfam family: Bacterial small subunit ribosomal RNA
Source: RNAcentral